Anarrhichthys ocellatus (wolf-eel) is the source of this 83-nucleotide non-coding RNA. The record is from the annotation of a RefSeq genome assembly. Lineage: Eukaryota; Metazoa; Chordata; Actinopteri; Perciformes; Anarhichadidae.
ACUAGGAUGGCUGAGUGGUUAAGGCGUUGGUCUUAAGUACCAAUGGGCUGAAGCCCUUGUGGGUUCGAACACCACUCCUAGUA